RNAcentral lists this ribosomal RNA (492 nucleotides) under uncultured bacterium. RNAcentral describes it as "partial 16S ribosomal RNA". It matches the Rfam family "Bacterial small subunit ribosomal RNA", at positions 29 to 507 of the family's 1533-position model. The record is from RNAcentral.
AGUGAACGCUGGCGGUAGGCCUAACACAUGCAAGUCGAACGGCAGCACAGUAAGAGCUUGCUCUUACGGGUGGCGAGUGGCGGACGGGUGAGGAAUACAUCGGAAUCUACUUUUUCGUGGGGGAUAACGUAGGGAAACUUACGCUAAUACCGCAUACGACCUACGGGUGAAAGCAGGGGUUCUUCGGACCUUGCGCGAUUGAAUGAGCCGAUGUCGGAUUAGCUAGUUGGCGGGGUAAAGGCCCACCAAGGCGACGAUCCGUAGCUGGUCUGAGAGGAUGAUCAGCCACACUGGAACUGAGACACGGUCCAGACUCCUACGGGAGGCAGCAGUGGGGAAUAUUGGACAAUGGGCGCAAGCCUGAUCCAGCCAUACCGCGUGAGUGAAGAAGGCCUUCGGGUUGCAAAGCCCUUUUGUUGGGAAAGAAAAGAAGCAGGUUAAUACCCCGCUGUUCUGACGGUACCCAAAGAGUAAGCACCGGCUAACUUCGCG